AACAUGUCUGUUUGGAGUUAUAAAAAGUCUGGCCUGCCCACUGAUAGAGUUUAAAGGGCCGCGGUAUUUUGACCGUGCAAAGGUAGCAUAGUAGUUAGGUUUUUAAUUGAGAUCUUGUAUGAAUGGUUCGACAAAGAAACAUCUGUCUUUGUAUUUAACUAUUGAAUUUAACUUCCAAGUGAAAAGGCUUGGAUAAAUUAAAAAGACGAUAAGACCCUAUAAAACUUAAUAUAUUCUCAUUAUCUGAUUGAAAUUAAAUGUAAUAGUUUGGUAAAGAAAUAUAUUGUGUUGGGGCGACAAGGGCAUAAAGUACUGCAACUGUUCUUAUUUAUAGACAUUAAUUAUUGUUUAAUAUUGUAAUUGAUCCUAAUUAAAGAUUCAAAGUUUAAGUUACUUUAGGGAUAACAGCGUUAUUUUUUUUGAGAGUUCUUAUCGAAAAAAAAGAUUGCGACCUCGAUGUUGAAUUAAAAUAUCUGUACAAUUGCAGAAGUUGUAUAAGAAGGUCUGUUCGACCUUUAAAUUUUUACGUGAUCU
RNAcentral lists this ribosomal RNA (534 nucleotides) under Ilyoplax frater. Its description in RNAcentral is "partial large subunit ribosomal RNA". It matches the Rfam family "Bacterial large subunit ribosomal RNA", at positions 1828 to 2606 of the family's 2925-position model. Lineage: Eukaryota; Metazoa; Arthropoda; Malacostraca; Decapoda; Dotillidae. The record is from RNAcentral.